AACGAACGCUGAUGGCGUGCCUCAUACAUGCAAGUCGAGCGCGUAGCAAUACGAGCGGCGAACGGGUGAGUAACGCGUGAACAAUCUGCCUUAAAGUGGGGGAUAACCAUUCCAACGGAUGGCUAAUACCGCAUAGGGUUUGGAGGUGGCAUCACUUCCUCACGAAAGCAUUUAUGCGCUUUAAGAUGAGUUCGCGUCCC
Molecule: ribosomal RNA, 200 nt
Filed under: uncultured bacterium
Lineage: Bacteria
Description: partial 16S ribosomal RNA
Rfam family: Bacterial small subunit ribosomal RNA
Source: RNAcentral